RNAcentral lists this ribosomal RNA (661 nucleotides) under uncultured Pseudomonadota bacterium. Its description in RNAcentral is "bacterial SSU rRNA". It matches the Rfam family "Bacterial small subunit ribosomal RNA", at positions 69 to 723 of the family's 1533-position model. Lineage: Bacteria; Pseudomonadati; Pseudomonadota. The record is from RNAcentral.
CAGGAAACAGCUUGCUGUUUCGCUGACGAGUGGCGGACGGGUGAGUAAUGUCUGGGAAACUGCCUGAUGGAGGGGGAUAACUACUGGAAACGGUAGCUAAUACCGCAUAACGUCGCAAGACCAAAGAGGGGGACCUUCGGGCCUCUUGCCAUCAGAUGUGCCCAGAUGGGAUUAGCUAGUAGGUGGGGUAACGGCUCACCUAGGCGACGAUCCCUAGCUGGUCUGAGAGGAUGACCAGCCACACUGGAACUGAGACACGGUCCAGACUCCUACGGGAGGCAGCAGUGGGGAAUAUUGCACAAUGGGCGCAAGCCUGAUGCAGCCAUGCCGCGUGUAUGAAGAAGGCCUUCGGGUUGUAAAGUACCUUCAGCGGGGAGGAAGGGAGUAAAGUUAAUACCUUUGCUCAUUGACGUUACCCGCAGAAGAAGCACCGGCUAACUCCGUGCCAGCAGCCGCGGUAAUACGGAGGGUGCAAGCGUUAAUCGGAAUUACUGGGCGUAAAGCGCACGCAGGCGGUUUGUUAAGUCAGAUGUGAAAUCCCCGGGCUCAACCUGGGAACUGCAUCUGAUACUGGCAAGCUUGAGUCUCGUAGAGGGGGGUAGAAUUCCAGGUGUAGCGGUGAAAUGCGUAGAGAUCUGGAGGAAUACCGGUGGCGAAGGCG